This 253-nucleotide ribosomal RNA is filed under the name uncultured bacterium. RNAcentral describes it as "partial 16S ribosomal RNA". It matches the Rfam family "Bacterial small subunit ribosomal RNA", at positions 524 to 776 of the family's 1533-position model. The record is from RNAcentral.
GACAGGGGUCUCGAGCGUUAAUCGGAAUUACUGGGCUUAAAGGGUGCGUAGGCGGGCCUGCAAGUGCUUUGUGAAAUCCCCCGGCUCAACCGGGGAACUGCGGGGCAUACUGCGGGCCUUGAGGAAGGUAGGCGCCGAGGGAACAGUAGGUGGAGCGGUGAAAUGCGUAGAUAUCUACUGGAACGCCGAUGGUGAAGACGCUCGGCUGGGCCUUUCCUGACGCUGAGGCACGAAAGCGUGGGGAGCAAACAGG